This 253-nucleotide ribosomal RNA is filed under the name uncultured bacterium. RNAcentral describes it as "partial 16S ribosomal RNA". It matches the Rfam family "Bacterial small subunit ribosomal RNA", at positions 524 to 776 of the family's 1533-position model. The record is from RNAcentral.
UACGGAGGGUGCAAGCGUUGUCCGGAUUCACUGGGUUUAAAGGGUGCGUAGGUGGGUUGGUAAGUCAGUGGUGAAAUCCCCGAGCUUAACUUGGGAACUGCCAUUGAUACUAUCAGUCUUGAAUACCGUGGAGGUCAACGGAAUAUGUCAUGUAGCGGUGAAAUGCUUAGAUAUGACAUAGAACACCAAUUGCGAAGGCAGCUGGCUACUCGGAUAUUGACACUGAGGCACGAAAGCGUGGGGAUCAAACAGG